RNAcentral lists this unclassified non-coding RNA (146 nucleotides) under soil metagenome. RNAcentral's name for it is "partial internal transcribed spacer 1". The record is from RNAcentral.
UAAUAAGUGUUUUAUGGCACUUUUUAAAUCCAUAUCCACCUUGUGUGCAAUGUCAGUCGAUCUUCUUCAUGGAGAUCGACCUAAACAUCAACCUUUAUCUUUUAACUCUUUGUCUGAAAAAUAUUAUGAAUAAACAAUUCAAAAUA